RNAcentral lists this ribosomal RNA (569 nucleotides) under uncultured fungus. RNAcentral describes it as "eukaryotic LSU rRNA". The stretch from base 208 to 361 matches the Rfam family "5.8S ribosomal RNA". The record is from RNAcentral. Lineage: Eukaryota; Fungi.
CGUAACAAGGUCUCCGUAGGUGAACCUGCGGNGGGAUCAUUACACAAAUAUGAAGGCGGGCUGGAACCUCUCGGGGUUACAGCCUUGCUGAAUUAUUCACCCUUGUCUUUUGCGUACUUCUUGUUUCCUUGGUGGGUUCGCCCACCACUAGGACAAACAUAAACCUUUUGUAAUUGCAAUCAGCGUCAGUAACAAAUUAAUAAUUACAACUUUCAACAACGGAUCUCUUGGUUCUGGCAUCGAUGAAGAACGCAGCGAAAUGCGAUNNGUAGUGUGAAUUGCAGAAUUCAGUGAAUCAUCGAAUCUUUGAACGCACAUUGCGCCCUUUGGUAUUCCAAAGGGCAUGCCUGUUCGAGCGUCAUUUGUACCCUCAAGCUUUGCCUGGUGUUGGGCGUCUUGUCUCUAGCUUUGCUGGAGACUCGCCUUAAAGUAAUUGGCAGCCGGCCUACUGGUUUCGGAGCGCAGCACAAGUCGCACUCUCUAUCAGCAAAGGUCUANCAUCCAUUAAGCCUUUUUUCAACUUUUGACCUCGGAUCAGGUAGGGAUACCCGCUGAACUUAAGCAUAUCA